UUUCAGUCCCCCCAUUUCCCAUUUCUUUGUAAUUUAACCCCAAAGAAGUCUCGGAACUUCAUAUUUGCCCCCCAAAGCUAUUGUAAUUCCUUCAAUUGGAUCCCUGUUUUUGUUGCAUAUGAACCCCUCGAGUUCCCCCCUGUUCUGAUGUGACCCCAAAAAUUGGAAAAGCUGAACUAAUUUCAUUCUUUUGAGCUUAGUCCUCUGUUUGCAUAUUUUAUAUGGUUUUCUGGACAGAUUAAUUCUGGAAUUUAGACCAUAAUUGUGGUUUAAUAUUUUUGUUGA
RNAcentral lists this long non-coding RNA (285 nucleotides) under Coffea arabica (coffee). RNAcentral's name for it is "long non-coding RNA (CARA_LNC008141)". Lineage: Eukaryota; Viridiplantae; Streptophyta; Magnoliopsida; Gentianales; Rubiaceae. The record is from RNAcentral.